GAAGCUGUGGAAUUGGUAAGACGCCUGAUCUGAUCAGGAUGAACCUUCCCGUGCUUUUUAGAACAUAGAUGGCGCCAGUCAGGCGACCAUCGAAACGUAAUACGCCACGGAAGUGCCUAGCACUCGGAUGGUAUGGCGAGGUUCGCCGUCCACGUUUCUCUUUCUUCAAGAAGGAUAUAAACCUUUGGUCAGGGGGUCAGCGGUUCGAUCCCGCUCAGCUCCACCA
Molecule: transfer RNA, 226 nt
Filed under: Martinezella rhizogenes
Lineage: Bacteria; Pseudomonadati; Pseudomonadota; Alphaproteobacteria; Hyphomicrobiales; Rhizobiaceae
Description: tRNA-Ser
Source: RNAcentral